RNAcentral lists this ribosomal RNA (497 nucleotides) under uncultured bacterium. RNAcentral's name for it is "partial 16S ribosomal RNA". It matches the Rfam family "Bacterial small subunit ribosomal RNA", at positions 28 to 507 of the family's 1533-position model. The record is from RNAcentral.
GAUGAACGCUGGCGGCGUGCCUAAUACAUGCAAGUCGAGCGAACGGACGAGAAGCUUGCUUAUCUGAUGUUAGCGGCGGACGGGUGAGUAACACGUGGAUAACCUACCUAUAAGACUGGGAUAACUUCGGGAAACCGGAGCUAAUACCGGAUAAUAUUUUGAACCGCAUGGUUCAAAAGUGAAAGACGGUCUUGCUGUCACUUAUAGAUGGAUCCGCGCUGCAUUAGCUAGUUGGUAAGGUAACGGCUUACCAAGGCAACGAUGCAUAGCCGACCUGAGAGGGUGAUCGGCCACACUGGAACUGAGACACGGUCCAGACUCCUACGGGAGGCAGCAGUAGGGAAUCUUCCGCAAUGGGCGAAAGCCUGACGGAGCAACGCCGCGUGAGUGAUGAAGGUCUUCGGAUCGUAAAACUCUGUUAUUAGGGAAGAACAUAUGUGUAAGUAACUGUGCACAUCUUGACGGCACCUAAUCAGAAAGCCACGGCUAACUACGUG